Molecule: transfer RNA, 73 nt
Filed under: Camelus bactrianus (Bactrian camel)
Lineage: Eukaryota; Metazoa; Chordata; Mammalia; Artiodactyla; Camelidae
Also listed under: 2 other names
Rfam family: tRNA
About the family: Transfer RNA (tRNA) molecules are approximately 80 nucleotides in length.
Source: Rfam by way of RNAcentral
GAGGAUAUAGCUCAGCUGGUAGACUGCUUGCUUAGCAUGCAUGAGGUCCUGGGUUCAAUCUCCAGUACCUCCA